GAAAACUUUACAAUGGGCGAAAGCACGAUAAGGGAACUCUGAGUGCCCCCUAAGGGGGCUGUUCUAGUGUCUAAAAAGCAAUAGAAGUAAGGGCUGGGCAAGACCGGUUUCAGCCGCCGCGGUAACACCGGCAGCCCAAGUGGUAGCCACGUUUAUUGGGUCUAAAGCGUUCGUAGCCGGCUUUGUAAGUUCCUUGGUAAAUUUAGCCGCUUAACGGUUAAGCUUUCAGGGAAUACUGCUUGGCUUGGGACUGGGAGAGGUCAGAGGUACUCCAGGGGUAGGGGUGAAAUCCAUUAAUCCUUGGGGGACCACCGGUAGCGAAGGCGUCUGACCAGACCAGCUCCGACGGUGAGGGACGAAGGCUAGGGGCGCGAACCGGAUUAGAUACCCGGGUAGUCCUAGCUGUAAACGAUGCGGGCUAGGUGUUGGCAUUACUGCGAGUGGUGCCAGUGCCAAAGGGAAGCCGUUAAGCUCGCCAUCUGGGGAGAACGGUCGCAAGGCUUUAAACUUAAAGGAAUUGGGCGGGGGGAGCACCACA
RNAcentral lists this ribosomal RNA (538 nucleotides) under uncultured archaeon. RNAcentral describes it as "bacterial SSU rRNA". It matches the Rfam family "Archaeal small subunit ribosomal RNA", at positions 343 to 883 of the family's 1478-position model. The record is from RNAcentral.